RNAcentral lists this ribosomal RNA (649 nucleotides) under uncultured bacterium. RNAcentral describes it as "bacterial SSU rRNA". It matches the Rfam family "Bacterial small subunit ribosomal RNA", at positions 94 to 810 of the family's 1533-position model. The record is from RNAcentral.
ACCGGCGCACGGGUGAGUAACACGUAUCCAACCUGCCUUCAACUCAGGGAUAGCCUUUCGAAAGAAAGAUUAAUACCUGAUGGUUGAGGAUGGGGAUGCGUUCCAUUAGGCAGUUGGCGGGGUAACGGCCCACCAAACCUACCAUGGAUAGGGGUUCUGAGAGGAAGGUCCCCCACAUUGGAACUGAGACACGGUCCAAACUCUACGGGAGGCAGCAGUGAGGAAUAUUGGUCAAUGGACGAGAGUCUGAACCAGCCAAGUAGCGUGAAGGAUGACUGCCUAUGGGUUGUAAACUUCUUUUAUAAGGGAAUAUGUACCUUAUGAAUAAGGAUCGGCUAACUCCGUGCCAGCAGCCGCGGUAAUACGGAGGAUCCGAGCGUUAUCCGGAUUUAUUGGGUUUAAAGGGAGCGUAGGCGGGCGUUUAAGUCAGUUGUGAAAGUUUGCGGCUCAACCAUAAAAUCGCAGUUGAUACUGGAUGCCUUGAGUGCGGCAGAGGCAGGCGGAAUUCGUGGUGUAGCGGUGAAAUGCUUAGAUAUCACGAAGAACUCCGAUUGCGAAGGCAGCUUGCUGGACCGUAACUGACGCUGAUGCUCGAAAGUGCGGGUAUCAAACAGGAUUAGAUACCCUGGUAGUCCGCACAGCAAACGAU